RNAcentral lists this transfer RNA (69 nucleotides) under Pachydactylus rugosus. RNAcentral describes it as "tRNA-Ala". Lineage: Eukaryota; Metazoa; Chordata; Lepidosauria; Squamata; Gekkonidae. The record is from RNAcentral.
AAGACCUGUAAAAUUCUAAUAUACAUCUGAUGACUGCAACUCAACCGCUUUAAUUAAACUAAGGCCUUA